AUUAAGGUGGCUCACCCCAAUAGUGACCCCCGGUAGAUUUUUUUUAUUUUCACUUAUUCUGUAGAUUUUUUUAUGCUGAAUCCAAAAAUGCAAAGAAAAAAGGGGGUCACCAGGCUCGUUUUCCCCUCAAAUUGAAGCGAAAUGUGCGAUUUUGACCCUUUUUCCAAAUAUGUCCACCCUUACAACAAUAACGGUUACAUCAAAUUCAAAGAGUUUUAAAACCAAGUCAGUAUGAUUUUUAUGUGAAAAAACAUUAGAAUUUGAAAUGUAAACCUUUCCCGUUGUUGUUUUUGACUUAAAAAUCCUUUUAUUUUUAGAUUUAUGUCUAAAUUUUGCAUUUUCUAAUUUCAGUUUAAGGCAAAAAAUAUUGAUUGAAUCGAUUUUUCGUAAAAUUUUCCCGGUAGAUUUUUUUUAAAAACAGAUAUGUGAAAGCUAUGAACAUUUCGAGCAUUUUAAGGUAAAAUAAAAUGGGGGUCACCAGGCUUUUAAAAAAGUUACGAGCUUUUGUUUAACCCCUCUACCCCAUAAGGUCUGAUUUCAAUGCAGUCCAUUAAUUACUUAAUUGUGAAUUCUUUAUUGGUGGCUUAAAUAAAAUAAUGUUUGAAAUUAUAUUAAUAAACGAUGGCUGAAUAUAAAUGUGAUUAUCGUAUGACUGUUUGUUAUCAAGAAGCGAAACUUUGAUUAUUUAGGUGAAAUACGGUAAUUUUGUCUGGCGCGAGUUGCUUCCCUCUAAUUUGGCGCCAUUAUCGGACCAGAGGAAUUUAAAGGUCGGCACGCCGAGCAGCAUACUACAUUGAUGAAUACGACCAUUUACAUACAUAACAGACAUUGUGGUGAAUAUACAACGAUGAAGGCUGCAAGUACAUUUGUACAUGUACAUGCAAAUGGAAGGAGUGAUCUUGGAAUGUUCAACUUUACUUGGAAUUAUUGGCACAGUACUGACAGAAUUUUAUGAGAAGCCAGUAUCAUCUAGCCUUGCAACCGGAAACUAUGUGUAAAGUGCUGAAACUUAAGAACAACAUUCUACAUGUAUAUGCAAUAUGUGUUGCCACAAUCCAAUUGAGGAGCAGAGGUCAACUAUAAAUUGGAACUACAUGUAUAGGCCUUAGUGCUGUCAAAAUCCUUAAAAAAUGCAAUCAAAAGGACCUGCUUCACCUACCUGUCCCAAUGAUGAAUAAAGAUCAUAUAUAUAUAUAUUGAGUCUUAUAAAAAAAAACAGUGAAGGAGAAUAAAAAUUAUGAAGAUAUAGAGCUGAUCAGCUUAUGAUUGUACAUGUACAUGACGUAUAAAUGGCAACAAUGCUUACAUUUAUACUAGAACAUUUAAAUUAACAAUAUUACAUUUGUAAUACAUGUUUUAUAAAUUUGAUCUCAGAGACAUCUGAGGAAUAAAAUCAAUAACGUUUCAAAAAUU
This is a long non-coding RNA of Mytilus trossulus (common blue mussel), 1413 nucleotides long. RefSeq lists it as uncharacterized. NCBI's taxonomy places the organism in Eukaryota, Metazoa, Mollusca, Bivalvia, Mytilida, Mytilidae. The record is from RefSeq and is a predicted model, not a curated record. The transcript is spliced from 2 exons.